This 481-nucleotide ribosomal RNA is filed under the name Trichoplax sp. H8. RNAcentral's name for it is "partial 16S ribosomal RNA". It matches the Rfam family "Bacterial large subunit ribosomal RNA", at positions 2034 to 2425 of the family's 2925-position model. The record is from RNAcentral. Lineage: Eukaryota; Metazoa; Placozoa; Uniplacotomia; Trichoplacea; Trichoplacidae.
UAGUGAAAUUGAAAUAACAGUGAAGAUGCUGUUUAGGAAUUCUAAGACGAGAAGACCCCAUUGAGCUUUACUAUUAACUUGUAUUGCCAGAGCAAUAAAGGGAACCCCAAAGGUUCCCGGGAUCCAACGGAUCCCUUAGGUACCCUGUCCUUUGCUUCAUAAUAAAAUUGUGAAGACUAAGUGGAAAAAGAUAAAACAAGGGAUUAAAAAAAACGGGUCUCUGGGCCCCGGCUCUCAAAAGGCCCCUUGGCUUCUUGUCCCAAUUUAUAUGAAAAACCACUCUUUUUAUUAAGAUUACUGUCUAAAACCGUACAAGUAAGAUAGUUUGGUUGGGGCGACCGCCUUCGAAAAAGUAUCGAAGGCGCACAUAAGAUUAGUCCGGAGGGGGGUCCUACGAAUCCCCCUCCCGGGGGCAAUGCCCCAAAAAAGAUUAGUUUGACUGAAAGGGCUACAACCCGAACAGGCGCCGGGGGAUCCGGGG